CCUGAGAAAGCCCGAAAAAAUGCUGUUCACUUGGUAAAGAAAACCGGGUAAAUGUUGGUUUGUUCGUCUUCGGUAGAGCCUCCACAGUAAAGACCGAGGAUCAGGACGUCUUCGCAGCAGUUGAUAUCCAACUGUGAGGCGCAUUACAACCACCUACUGGAGUAAUUUACUCCAGUGAUGCAAGAUGUGAAGCAAUACCUAUGACAGGUCUCCUGAUGACAACUGAUGAAUAAACCACUGAAGCAUCCUCUUCCACCUACACAUUUGAUGGUCCGUGAGUGCUGUACUGUACUGUACUGUAUCCUUCAA
Micropterus salmoides (largemouth bass) is the source of this 309-nucleotide long non-coding RNA. RefSeq lists it as uncharacterized. The record is from RefSeq and is a predicted model, not a curated record. The transcript has 4 exons. Lineage: Eukaryota; Metazoa; Chordata; Actinopteri; Centrarchiformes; Centrarchidae.